This 497-nucleotide ribosomal RNA is filed under the name uncultured bacterium. Its description in RNAcentral is "partial 16S ribosomal RNA". It matches the Rfam family "Bacterial small subunit ribosomal RNA", at positions 28 to 507 of the family's 1533-position model. The record is from RNAcentral.
GAUGAACGCUGGCGGCGUGCCUAAUACAUGCAAGUCGAGCGAACGGACGAGGAGCUUGCUUCUCUGACGUUAGCGGCGGACGGGUGAGUAACACGUGGAUAACCUACCUAUAAGACUGGGAUAACUUCGGGAAACCGGAGCUAAUACCGGAUAAUAUUUUGAACCGCAGGGUUCAAUAGUAAAAGACGGUCUUGCUGUCACUUAUAGAUGGAUCCGCGCUGCAUUAGCUAGUUGGUAAGGUAACGGCUUACCAAGGCAACGAUGCGUAGCCGACCUGAGAGGGUGAUCGGCCACACGGGAACUGAGACACGGUCCAGACUCCUACGGGAGGCAGCAGUAGGGAAUCUUCCGCAAAGGGCGAAAGCCUGACGGAGCAACGCCGCGUGAGUGAUGAAGGUCUUCGGAUCGUAAAACUCUGUUAUUAGGGAAGAACAUAUGUGUAAGUAACUGUGCACAUCUUGACGGUACCUAAUCAGAAAGCCACGGCUAACUACGUG